AAUCAAAAGAAAAAAAAGAAAGGAAAAGGUCGAACAAGGUACACUUUAGGUACACUUUCUAGAAAGAUACUUUUCAUACCGCCCUCGCUAGCAUAGCUCGAAGAAAUUGGUGGAAUGCAGGAGAUCCAGAAGAUCAUCCGAUUGCACAGUUAUGUUAAAGCUUAAAGCUCAGCUUAGGCAUGCAAUAGGUACAGGCGAAUAGACUUGAUUCAUGUGAAAUCAUUCCCCUGCAUAGUUUCACUUACGGCACACGUAUAUAUAGAUUUUCGUGAUUUUCGCAAUCGCAGAGUGAAUGGUGAAGACACGUGGAGUUACAUAACUUCCAAUUUUUCACUAUUAUCUAAUCAUCCGCUGUUUAUAUGGAUUAAUAAAUCCGAAGAGUGGCGUUAGCUGAACUACCCGAGGGAAAAGUGAAAAUAAAGUGAAAUUCUUGAAAGAAGCAAAGGUACGUUAGUCCACCGUGGAAAGAUAAGGUUCUGACACAGUUUUAUUUAGGGAUAGGAGUACUGGAAAAUCUUAAUACAGCCAAGCCGGCCAACCAAUCUACGGUAUCAACUACUAAAACAACCAAGCUGACCGUUUGGGAGUUAGCGCAGUGCACAUCCACGGCGGCAAAGUGAAGGCUGAACCGUUGACGUUGGGCUAGCUCAAUAUCGGAAAUCAUUUACGGCUCGUGAAAGACCAACCACCAUACACCACUGCUGGACGUCCGAAUUUCAGUUUGAACCUGCCGAUCUCAUAAAAAAAGCCGGAGGACAUAAUCGUCACCAACCUACGAAAACUUACAAAGGAUUGAUGCAUACAAAUGAAUCCGUCAAAGUCAUCUUGGGCCCAACGAUACCCCGAUGAGUUUAACCAAUUACUGUGAGUACCACUAGUGGCUGAAACCACAAUGUCUAUACACCAAUGCAGGCGUAAGUUUGUUGAAGUAGAUAUAUAUAUACUGAUUUGAAAGAAUAUUACCCCCCUCAAAUGCUCAAAUAAUUAAGUUUUUUUUUUUGCUGAUCCAAGAAGAAGGAAGUCUGUAUAUUUUUGUUUAUUUGUAAAUGUAAGGAAUCGGAUUAUAUCUGUAAUUUAUGUAAAAAAA
Molecule: long non-coding RNA, 1087 nt
Organism: Drosophila pseudoobscura
Lineage: Eukaryota; Metazoa; Arthropoda; Insecta; Diptera; Drosophilidae
Exons: 2
Source: RefSeq, a predicted model, not a curated record